CACUGAACUGUAAGGAAUAAUUCUCCAUUCUGAAUAAUUUCCUACUCUUAAGGUUGCCUCCAACGAUCUUCAUGUGGCUCCUUCUCCAUGACACUACCAGUAACUUGCCUCGAACUUGAAAGUCACCAGCUACUUUUUUGUUUUAAUCCUGUCAAUUGAUCGAAUUCGGCACACUGUGAGACUUUCUCUACCAAAAAAAAGAAAUUCCCUCUGGUGUAGAAUCCUUUUCAUCUGCUCUGGAAUCAACCCAAAAACACUGAGAGAAUCCAAAAGAGCUCCCUGUGUCAGAAGCAUCGGCAGUGAUGAUCUUCAGGCACAUGUUGCCUCUACUGAUGAACUUUAAAUGGCUCUUCAGUCAUAUACAUUAUGAAUCGUGACAAAGCCAAUAAUCCCAAGAAGUAUUCAUCUUUGCAGUUGAGCAAGAAAAAUGACAAAAGAAAGAGCUGAAUCUUAACUAUUUCUAUCUAUCAAUAAAUUAGACUAAUUGAUAACUAGUGUUGGUCA
RNAcentral lists this long non-coding RNA (504 nucleotides) under Numida meleagris (helmeted guineafowl). RNAcentral describes it as "lncRNA (ENSNMEG00000022144.1)". The record is from RNAcentral. Lineage: Eukaryota; Metazoa; Chordata; Aves; Galliformes; Numididae.